GAGUAACGAUUUUAUUGGUUUAGGAAAUUAAUGUGAUAGCAAAAUGUAAAAUUACUGUAUUUCAAUGAGUGGCAUAGAUUGGUAAUUAUUGUGGAAAACUUAUGGUUAAGUACAAAAUGUACUUAUGUUUUAAUAGAUUAGUAGAUUUAAACUCGGUCUACCCUAGACUAGACAGCUAUAAGUUUUGUAUUUGUUCCCGAAUUUUAUUGCAAGUUGAUCAAAUGGGAGAUAAGCGUGGUUCGGUUUUUCUUCUAAUGUUUGGUUGAUUGUUUUUUAGUAAGGCUUUGAUUAGUAACAUGAGUUAAGUUUGAUUUAGACUGAGUUAUAUAUGGGUGUAA
Molecule: long non-coding RNA, 338 nt
Filed under: Brassica napus (rape)
Lineage: Eukaryota; Viridiplantae; Streptophyta; Magnoliopsida; Brassicales; Brassicaceae
Description: long non-coding RNA (BNAP_LNC004175)
Source: RNAcentral